RNAcentral lists this ribosomal RNA (498 nucleotides) under uncultured bacterium. Its description in RNAcentral is "partial 16S ribosomal RNA". It matches the Rfam family "Bacterial small subunit ribosomal RNA", at positions 30 to 523 of the family's 1533-position model. The record is from RNAcentral.
AUUGAACGCUGGCGGCAUGCCUUACACAUGCAAGUCGAACGGUAACAGGUCUUCGGACGCUGACGAGUGGCGAACGGGUGAGUAAUACAUCGGAACGUGCCCAGUCGUGGGGGAUAACUACUCGAAAGAGUAGCUAAUACCGCAUACGAUCUGAGGAUGAAAGCGGGGGACCUUCGGGCCUCGCGCGAUUGGAGCGGCCGAUGGCAGAUUAGGUAGUUGGUGGGAUAAAAGCUUACCAAGCCGACGAUCUGUAGCUGGUCUGAGAGGACGACCAGCCACACUGGGACUGAGACACGGCCCAGACUCCUACGGGAGGCAGCAGUGGGGAAUUUUGGACAAUGGGCGAAAGCCUGAUCCAGCAAUGCCGCGUGCAGGAUGAAGGCCUUCGGGUUGUAAACUGCUUUUGUACGGAACGAAAAAGCUCCUUCUAAUACAGGGGGCCCAUGACGGUACCGUAAGAAUAAGCACCGGCUAACUACGUGCCAGCAGCCGCCGUAA